This 228-nucleotide long non-coding RNA is filed under the name Medicago truncatula (barrel medic). Its description in RNAcentral is "long non-coding RNA (MTRU_LNC004669)". Lineage: Eukaryota; Viridiplantae; Streptophyta; Magnoliopsida; Fabales; Fabaceae. The record is from RNAcentral.
ACAAUACAAAUCAGAUACAGACUCUUAAGACUCUAGAAUUUCUAAGAUAUGAAAGUUGAUAAGAAAUUCUAAGUGAACUUUUGAUUGCAGAACAAUUUCAGCAGAGUUUUGGCUCUUGUAAAUUGUUGUUGACUCCUUGCCAAUCUCUAAGUCUUCACUCCUUUAUAUAGAGGUGUGAAAGAGACAUUGUGAAUUGCCAGCACAUCAAAAUAGAGUCGUUUGAAGCUU